UACAGAGGUCCCAAGCGUUGUUCGGAUUCACUGGGCGUAAAGGGUGCGUAGGUGGUCGGGUAAGUCUGGUGUGAAAUCUCCGAGCUCAACUCGGAAACUGCAUUGGAUACUAUUCGGCUAGAGGAUUGGAGGGGAGACUGGAAUUCUCGGUGUAGCAGUGAAAUGCGUAGAUAUCGAGAGGAACACCAGUGGCGAAGGCGAGUCUCUGGACAAUUCCUGACACUGAGGCACGAAAGCUGGGGGAGCAAACAGG
RNAcentral lists this unclassified non-coding RNA (253 nucleotides) under Deltaproteobacteria bacterium. RNAcentral's name for it is "partial 16S ribosomal RNA". It matches the Rfam family "Bacterial small subunit ribosomal RNA", at positions 524 to 776 of the family's 1533-position model. Lineage: Bacteria; Pseudomonadati; Myxococcota; Myxococcia. RNAcentral also lists the same sequence under 1 other name. The record is from RNAcentral.